Brassica rapa (field mustard) is the source of this 4274-nucleotide long non-coding RNA. RefSeq lists it as uncharacterized. The record is from RefSeq and is a predicted model, not a curated record. NCBI's taxonomy places the organism in Eukaryota, Viridiplantae, Streptophyta, Magnoliopsida, Brassicales, Brassicaceae.
UGUUGGUCUGCAAAAUCAAAAUCAAUUUAUUUGAUAGAUACAAAAUUCAAUACUUAGCCACAUAAUCCUAAUCCAUUAAAUAUCAGGAUUAAGAAAGCAUGGAAUUAUUAAAUUACUGUUUCUCAUUGAUAUAACUCAAUUACCCUAAAGAGUGACUUUACUCUCUCAAAUAAGAGGUUCAAUCGUAGUACUUAGGAAUCGAAUCCACAAUGAGCUAGGAAACCAAUUAGAUCUAAUAGUUUAUGAUUAAACUAGGCUAAUAGUUUUAAAGCAGUAAAUAAAUAAGUAAAUAAAGCAGUAAACAAGAUGAACAAGAUAAUUGUUCAGCUUGGCAGAGAGUUGUUAACAGUAAAGAGAAAUAGCUAGAUCUAGGGAUUUAUCAAUCAAAAGAUUCAAAACUACAAUUCAAUGAUGCUAAAGGUUUAUAGAUUCAAUUCUAGAACUCAAUUUUAAUAAGUAAGAAUCUCACUUUCGUAUGCAAUUACUAAUCAGAUGCCUAAGUCUUUGUCCCGGCUGUCGCACGCGAACAAGGAGUGAGCAUCGAUCGAUGCUAUGGCCUGAGCGUCGAUCGAUACUACCUCAGACAAGCAUUAAUGACCUAAUCGAUUAUGUUCAACUAGAUUCCUAGACCAACUAUCGUAUGCGCCUAGGUAUCUAAUCCAACAGAGCUCGGGUUCUGUUAAUUGAUAGUACUUUCGUGCCUCUCAAUUAUCCUAUGAUUCUAGGUUCAAACAAAUAGUCACACUGUCGUGCUAUUCUAACGAUUCCAAAUCCUAGUAUUACAAAUCACCCUGGUAAAGAGAUCUAUAGAUAAUCUAGCAAUCCUAAUUGAUUAUCAGUUUUAGAUUAAACUCAUGAAAUCCCUAAACCUAACAAGAGAAUUACUCAGACAUGGAAGCAAUAAUAGAAAUCAUAGUCUGAAUAAUAAUAUAAUAGAAAUCAACGAUAAAACCAAUGGAGUUCCAAGAGGACUCUCAAGGAGUUCCUCCCUUCUCUCCUAACUAAGAACAAUCAAUAAAAUAAUGCAUAGAUACCGUGUAGCCGUCAACAAUGGUUAAGAAAUAACAUAAAUAGGGUUUCUGGUCGUCCAAGGGUAUUCUGGUAAUUUGGGAUUGCUCCUGGGCUUCAGUCGGUCAUAAAAUAUGCUCGGCCCGCAUUAUGGCAUCCAUAUCGAUCGAUGUCAAGAGUUCUGCAUCGAUCGACAUGCGUUCCUCUUCUCGACAUCUUCCUCUCGUGAGGCAGACUGACCACUCUUCAGUAAAACGGGCAUAACUUCUGCUACAGGAUGGUGAUUGACCUCAAACCGGUGGUAUUGGAAAUCUAACUCACAUCUAUAUCUUGUGUCAAAAGAUGAGCUCAAUCUAAUGGUCGGAAGAUCUUCAUACACAGCUAGACAUCUGACACGUAUGUGCAGUUCUGCACCCCAAAAGACUUCAAAAUCACCAUAUUUCUCCAGAACGUACUUAAACCUGUAAAUACUCUAAAUAGACUCUAUAUAAUAGUAAAUUUAUAUUAAAACACUUAUAGAACAUUGUUAAAAGUGGGUAAAAUUCAUGGUCUAUCACUCAUCUUAAAAUUGUUUUCAUCUAUCUAUUUGUUUUUUGGUUGGGUAUCAUGGUUUGUAUCAUGAUAUCUAUUAUGAUCAAUAUUAAGUAACAUAUUUUUGGUUUCUCGGUUUGGUAUCAUGGUCUGUUACCCAUGUUGUCUAGACCAGCCUAAUUAAUAGACCAGAUUAUGAUGUGUUCGGCUUAGUUGAUAUCCUAAGAUUUUUGAAAGUUAGUAUUAAUAGAUUUUACGCUGCACAGAAUCAAAACAUAACAUUUAUUAUAUUUCACAAACAAAAUUACGUUCUAAAACAAAUUCCUAUUUCGAAGCAAUGAUAUCAAUCAAUUAACACAAUGUCCAUCUUAUAUUCAAAUCUUGCUAAUCAUGUAUGCCUAAUUUAAAAAAAAAAGAAUAUUCUGGUUAUUGCUAUAAUUUAAUGUAAAAGGAAUGUGUAUUAAAUAAAUCAGAAUCGUAUGUUCGUUUUUCAAUGCCUCAAAAUCACAACCAACCAAAUAUUUUAUGCGUAUAUCCUUUCUAACCUAUCCUUUCAAUUUGCCAACUAUAUAUAUCUCAUCUUCAAAACUUGAAAAACAUAUCACAUCACGCAGAACAACCUAAGAAUGUUUACUCCAAUCUCAAAACUCAGAUAUUAUAAAUCCAAUUGGCUUGUUCAAAGCUUACAUUCAUGGAAGCAAAACCCAUCUUUUGGAGAUAGCUUCGAGAUGGUUUGAGCAGACCAAUGGGUAACUUACCUUUCUAAAGACAUGGUGCAAACCUCAGAAAAAAACUAUGAAUGUUGUAUUUAAAGAAGUUUUCGACAACCUUGAACAGUUGGAGCCAUAAGGUUUGAGUCGGUCACAAGUUCCUCUCAGGUGGAAGAAUGCUUGCUGGUUUAGAAAAAUUGUUUUAGUUUAUGCAAACAACCAACCUUUGCUUCCAAUUUCUUUAAUCACACAUCCAUUUAAAAAAAAUUCUUAUUCUUGAGUUUUGAACAAAUAAAGUAUUUUCUUUGGUAAUUUGAAGCUUUUUUUGUUUUAAAUUUUGGUGUUAUACAAGAGUAUCAUUAACAAAAACCAGCACGGCAUGCAUCACUCAGAUAAGUAAAAACCAAACAUCUAUUCUUAAUCCAUGGUUCUUUCAUACUGACAACCUAUUCUAGAUGGUCCUACAUUGCAUUCAUCUUAUGAUUUACUUAUGAUAGAUAAGUAAUUACUAACCGUAUUAUAAGUCUGUUGUUCGUGAAGGUUGUUGUCUUCCUUUUGCAUCUGGAUUACUUGAACUCGGGUCUCAAAACUUCCAACCCAAACCAUGGGGCAAAUUAAAAAGGCAUAAUAUCAUCUAUCAAACGAUUGACAAAUUCUAUGUUAUAGAAGAUUUUAAAAAGGCCAAAGGUUUAACAAUGUCUUACCAUGUCGUUGUAAGUUCACUAUUAUUUUUCGACAACUUUGUGUCCAUCUCCCUUCCCUCGGUUUCUCUAGAAAGAGGAGUUGGUCGGUACUACUAAUACUUCAAGCCUGAAAGAAAAGAUAUAACAAAGUUGACUCUAACUCACAAGUGCAAUGUUGAUUCCGUGACUUCUGAACAGUCUACUAGGUGGCUCUCUCAUUAAACAGAGCCUCUACAAUUAAGUCAACCCGACUUCUCUAAUUAAUAAUUGUUUAUGAUCGUUGCCGAAGCUCCUAUAAUUGGACGUUCAAUCUAAACCGUCAGUUAUAAGUUAAUUUAGGGUUAUCGCUACAAGAAAGAAGAUCGUUAAAUAAAAGUACCUUUGUAUGUCGAUUCUGAUAUGAAUAUAUCAACUCAUAUAUGUUGUUAUGUUCGUCUUCUCCCUUCAACUUCUGUUAGGAGGUUAGGCUUUAUAGAACAGAUGUUCAUGAUAGAAGCUCCAGAAGCUUUUUUCAACCAUUGAUUGUGUUUCAUGUCUAAUCACCCAAAUCUAGAGAUUACUUUUAUCUUCUCCCAUUCCAGUAUGUAUCCUCAAAACUAGCGCUGCUCUACACGAUUUAGAUCAAAUCUACCAAUAUCUCAGUAACAAAACCAAACCCUACUCUAUCAAUAGAAAUCGAUUAUAAUAUAAAUACUAAUCAAACUCCUAACCUUUGUUAUCAAUGUUACUCACUGCCGAUCUUUAAAUUGCUUCGGUUUAGAUUUCGAUACAUAAGUGUUCAGUCUCUAUGUCGGGAUUUUUGGUGAGGAUUCGACGACAGAUAUGAGCUCUGUUUAUAAUGAAACACAAAAGUCCUUUUUCGAUAAAAAGAACAAGAAACGGUUGUUGGUUUCCCGUAAAAAAAACAAACAGAGUUUUAAUGGGCUGAUUUCUUUUAAAUAAUGGAAUGAUAUGACCCAUAUUACAAUUUUUGUUUCUCACCAGUUACUAUGGUCCAAAUUACAUUUACCAUUUAAUAGAUGUUUUUGUAUGAUUGUAAUUAAUUUUGGUAUGAUUGUAAUUAAGUUGCUGCACUAAUAUAGAUAUAUGUUUUUGUAUAAAGUAGUAAAUAACAUAUAUUCCAAUUUUUUUAAAACGUACAAAUACAGUCAUAUUUGUAUAAACAUGUAAAUAAUUUAUAUUCCAAAAUUUUACAAAGUACAAAUACAUUCAAACAACUAAUGGAACUGAAUAAUCUGAACAACAAAUUAGAAAUAUAAAAAAUAAAAACAUUAUGUGCAGACAUGUAAUGUAAAAUAAAUAUGUAAUAUUGUAAAUGUUAUCUAUCUAUAAGAUUAAAAUA